RNAcentral lists this ribosomal RNA (749 nucleotides) under uncultured Capnocytophaga sp. Its description in RNAcentral is "bacterial SSU rRNA". It matches the Rfam family "Bacterial small subunit ribosomal RNA", at positions 28 to 776 of the family's 1533-position model. The record is from RNAcentral. Lineage: Bacteria; Pseudomonadati; Bacteroidota; Flavobacteriia; Flavobacteriales; Flavobacteriaceae.
GAUGAACGCUAGCGGCAGGCCUAACACAUGCAAGUCGAGGGAGAGGUUACCUUCGGGUAACCAAAACCGGCGCACGGGUGCGUAACGCGUAUACAAUCUGCCUUUCACAUAGGGAUAGCCCGAAGAAAUUUGGAUUAAUACCUAAUGGUAUAUAAGAGCGGCAUCGUUUUUAUAUUAAAGCUACGGUGGUGAAAGAUGAGUAUGCGUUCUAUUAGCUAGUUGGAGAGGUAACGGCUCCCCAAGGCGACGAUAGAUAGGGGUUCUGAGAGGGAUGUCCCCCACACUGGUACUGAGAUACGGACCAGACUCCUACGGGAGGCAGCAGUGAGGAAUAUUGGACAAUGGUCGGAAGACUGAUCCAGCCAUGCCGCGUGCAGGAUGAAGGUCCUAUGGAUUGUAAACUGCUUUUGUAAGGGAAGAAUAAGGAGUACGUGUACUUUGAUGACAGUACCUUACGAAUAAGCAUCGGCUAACUCCGUGCCAGCAGCCGCGGUAAUACGGAGGAUGCGAGCGUUAUCCGGAUUUAUUGGGUUUAAAGGGUGCGUAGGUUGUUCGGUAAGUCAGCGGUGAAACCUGAGCGCUCAACGUUCAGCCUGCCGUUGAAACUGCCGGGCUUGAGUUCAGUGGCGGCAGGCGGAAUUCGUGGUGUAGCGGUGAAAUGCAUAGAUAUCACGAGGAACUCCGAUUGCGAAGGCAGCUUGCCAUACUGCGACUGACACUGAAGCACGAAGGCGUGGGUAUCAAACAGG